AUAUAUAUUUUCUACCGUCCCUAUCCUAAUAAUGGUCCAACUAUCCUUUACGGGUAUGCCACUUUUCUCUUUAUGUUUUUUCAUGUUUAAGUUUACCUUUAUUUGUUAAGAAGAAUGUUAAUAAGUACUGAUUGAGUCUUAAUUCGAUUGGUAUGUAUAUUGUUGUCAAUGCAGGAGGACGUGAGUUUGAGUGUGCUGAUGCGCGUUAUCCUCCAAUUUAUGGGUUGAGGAGAGGCUAUGGAUAGUUUUAGACAUUAUGUGCCCUUUUAAGGGAUGAAUGUGUGUCAUUGGUUUAAACUAUCAUGUUUCAUAUUUGUUAUACCUCCUACAAGAGAGGACACACGACAAGUUGAAAGACCACCGAAGGGAUGAUCUCCGCUGCUAUAAUUUCGGAAGGUCGUUGGAACCCUCACCUCCCAUUCCUUUAGCCUCCCAAACUUUUGGAUAAAAACGUGACCUUCUUGGUCGCCAAACCUCACAUGGGUUCAGCUACUCUGUACCAUCAAAUCAGAAUGAAUGACAAGAUUUGUCCUAUUAUAAACAUCGCAGUCCCAUCGAAGACAUCUGCCUCAUGCAUUCCGCAAUGAUGGUUAGAUGGCUAGUUCAACAUGCUAACACCAUCUUACACGGGAUCCCCGCCUAUAAAUACCUCCAAGAACGAUGGAGAAGGGAUCGAUUCUCAAGUAUACAAAGCCUAUACUCUAUCAACUUACUUUGAGUACUUAGUCCUCGCGUUCUCUCCACCUUCACUCCUUAUAACCUCCAGCUCUCUGCCUCGACUGGAUGAACCGGCCACCGUAACCACUACCUCGUCUUCCUCCUAGUUCUUUCCUCGUUGUAUCACUGAAUCAACAAUAUUCAUUUAGCCAACUGUAG
This 876-nucleotide long non-coding RNA is filed under the name Gossypium raimondii (Peruvian cotton). RNAcentral describes it as "long non-coding RNA (GRAI_LNC006509)". The record is from RNAcentral. Lineage: Eukaryota; Viridiplantae; Streptophyta; Magnoliopsida; Malvales; Malvaceae.